AGCGAACGCUGGCGGCAGGCCUAACACAUGCAAGUCGAACGGAUCCUUCGGGAUUAGUGGCGGACGGGUGAGUAACACGUGGGAACGUACCUUUUGGUUCGGAACAACUCAGGGAAACUUGAGCUAAUACCGAAUGUGCCCUUCGGGGGAAAGAUUUAUCGCCAUUAGAGCGGCCCGCGUCUGAUUAGCUAGUUGGUGAGGUAAAGGCUCACCAAGGCUACGAUCAGUAGCUGGUCUGAGAGGAUGAUCAGCCACAUUGGGACUGAGACACGGCCCAAACUCCUACGGGAGGCAGCAGUGGGGAAUCUUGCGCAAUGGGCGAAAGCCUGACGCAGCCAUGCCGCGUGAAUGAUGAAGGUCUUAGGGUUGUAAAAUUCUUUCACCGGGGACGAUAAUGACGGUACCCGGAGAAGAAGCCCCGGCUAACUUCGUGCCAGCAGCCGCGGUAAU
RNAcentral lists this ribosomal RNA (450 nucleotides) under uncultured bacterium. RNAcentral describes it as "bacterial SSU rRNA". It matches the Rfam family "Bacterial small subunit ribosomal RNA", at positions 29 to 524 of the family's 1533-position model. The record is from RNAcentral.